Molecule: ribosomal RNA, 301 nt
Filed under: uncultured bacterium
Lineage: Bacteria
Description: partial 16S ribosomal RNA
Rfam family: Bacterial small subunit ribosomal RNA
Source: RNAcentral
CAGUAGCCGCGGGAAUACGAGGGGGGCAAGCGUUGUUCGGAAUUAUUGGGCGUAAAGGGCGCGUAGGCGGUUUGACAAGUUUGGUGUGAAAUCUAUGGGCUCAACCCAUAGCCUGCAUCGAAAACUGUCGGGCUUGAGUAUGGGAGAGGUGAGUGGAAUUUCCGGUGUAGCGGUGAAAUGCGUAGAUAUCGGAAGGAACACCUGUGGCGAAAGCGGCUCACUGGACCAUUACUGACGCUGAGGCGCGAAAGCUAGGGGAGCAAACAGGAUUAGAUACCCCAGUAGUCCCUGUCUCUUAUAC